Molecule: ribosomal RNA, 446 nt
Filed under: uncultured bacterium
Lineage: Bacteria
Description: bacterial SSU rRNA
Rfam family: Bacterial small subunit ribosomal RNA
Source: RNAcentral
AACGAACGCUGGCGGCAUGCCUAACACAUGCAAGUCGAGCGCGAAAGUGCCUUCGGGCGCGAGUAGAGCGGCGGACGGGUGCGUAACGCGUAGGAAUCUGCCUGGUAGUGGGGGAUAACUCGGGGAAACUCGAGCUAAUACCGCAUACGCCCCAUGGGGGAAAGCGGGGGGACCCUUCGGGCCUCGCGCUAUCAGAUGAGCCUGCGUCGGAUUAGCUAGUUGGUAGGGUAAUGGCCUACCAAGGCGACGAUCCGUAGCUGGUCUGAGAGGAUGAUCAGCCACACUGGGACUGAGACACGGCCCAGACUCCUACGGGAGGCAGCAGUGGGGAAUAUUGGACAAUGGGCGCAAGCCUGAUCCAGCCAUGCCGCGUGAGUGAUGAAGGCCUCGGGUUGUAAAGACGUCUUUCGUCACGCGACGAUGAUGACGGUAGCGUGAGAAGAAGA